GCCGAAGUAGCUCAGCUGGUCAGAGCACCGCUCUUGUAAAGCGGGGGUCAAGGGUUCGAAUCCCUUCUUCGGCU
Molecule: transfer RNA, 74 nt
Filed under: Thermoleophilia bacterium
Lineage: Bacteria; Bacillati; Actinomycetota; Thermoleophilia
Description: tRNA-Thr
Rfam family: tRNA
About the family: Transfer RNA (tRNA) molecules are approximately 80 nucleotides in length. Their secondary structure includes four short double-helical elements and three loops (D, anti-codon, and T loops). Further hydrogen bonds mediate the characteristic L-shaped molecular structure. tRNAs have two regions of fundamental functional importance: the anti-codon, which is responsible for specific mRNA codon recognition, and the 3' end, to which the tRNAs corresponding amino acid is attached (by aminoacyl-tRNA synthetases). tRNAs cope with the degeneracy of the genetic code in two manners: having more than one tRNA (with a specific anti-codon) for a particular amino acid; and 'wobble' base-pairing, i.e. permitting non-standard base-pairing at the 3rd anti-codon position.
Source: RNAcentral